AUACUGAGGGUGCAAGCGUUAAUCGGAAUUACUGGGCGUAAAGCGCGCGUAGGCGGUUUAUCAAGUCAGAUGUGAAAGCCCUGGGCUUAACCUGGGAACUGCAUUUGAAACUGAUAAACUAGAGUUUGAUAGAGGGUGACGGAAUUCCAGGUGUAGCGGUGAAAUGCGUAGAUAUCUGGAGGAACAUCAGUGGCGAAGGCGGUUGCCUGGACCAAAACUGACGCUGAGGUGCGAAAGCGUGGGGAGCAAACAGAAUUAGAAACCCCGGUAGUCC
Molecule: ribosomal RNA, 274 nt
Filed under: uncultured bacterium
Lineage: Bacteria
Description: partial 16S ribosomal RNA
Rfam family: Bacterial small subunit ribosomal RNA
Source: RNAcentral